UACACUCCUGCGGGAGGCAGCAGUGGGGAAUAUUGGACAAUGGGCGCAAGCCUGAUCCAGCCAUGCCGCGUGAGUGAUGAAGGCCCUAGGGUUGUAAAGCUCUUUCACCGGUGAAGAUAAUGACGGUAACCGGAGAAGAAGCCCCGGCUAACUUCGUGCCAGCAGCCGCGGUAAUACGAAGGGGGCUAGCGUUGUUCGGAUUUACUGGGCGUAAAGCGCACGUAGGCGGACUAUUAAGUCAGGGGUGAAAUCCCGGGGCUCAACCCCGGAACUGCCUUUGAUACUGGUAGUCUUGAGUUCGAGAGAGGUGAGUGGAAUUCCGAGUGUAGAGGUGAAAUUCGUAGAUAUUCGGAGGAACACCAGUGGCGAAGGCGGCUCACUGGCUCGAUACUGACGCUGAGGUGCGAAAGCGUGGGGAGCAAACAGGAUUAGAUACCCCGGUAGUCCCA
RNAcentral lists this ribosomal RNA (449 nucleotides) under uncultured organism. RNAcentral's name for it is "partial 16S ribosomal RNA". It matches the Rfam family "Bacterial small subunit ribosomal RNA", at positions 332 to 797 of the family's 1533-position model. The record is from RNAcentral.